AAGGAGUCUAACAUCUAUGCGAGUGUUUGGGUGUUAAGCCCGAGCGCGUAAUGAAAGUGAACGGAGGUGGGAACCCUCUUGGGUGCACCAUCGACCGAUCCUGAUGUCUUCGGAAGGAUUUGAGUAAGAGCAUGGCUGUUGGGACCCGAAAGAUGGUGAACUAUGCUUGAAUAGGGUGAAGCCAGAGGAAACUCUGGUGGAGGCUCGCAGCGGUUCUGACGUGCAAAUCGAUCGUCAAAUUUGGGUAUAGGGGCGAAAGACUAAUCGAACUAUCUAGUAGCUGGUUCCUGC
RNAcentral lists this unclassified non-coding RNA (291 nucleotides) under uncultured fungus. RNAcentral's name for it is "partial contains 5.8S rRNA, ITS2 and 28S rRNA". It matches the Rfam family "Eukaryotic large subunit ribosomal RNA", at positions 668 to 961 of the family's 3401-position model. The record is from RNAcentral. Lineage: Eukaryota; Fungi.